Molecule: long non-coding RNA, 760 nt
Filed under: Brassica rapa (field mustard)
Lineage: Eukaryota; Viridiplantae; Streptophyta; Magnoliopsida; Brassicales; Brassicaceae
Description: long non-coding RNA (BRAP_LNC005091)
Source: RNAcentral
GCGGGUUUAUUUUUGUUUUUUUUUGUUUUUUUUUUAAUUGACAAAUAUUUAGUAAAUGUCACAUUUUCAUAUAUUUUUGUUUUAUUUUAUAAAAGACUUAAAAUUUUUAUCUUUAUUUAUCGUAUUUCAUUUUAAAUGACUAUUUAUGUUUAAAAAUUAAACUUUAUUUUUUUUAAUGAAUUAAGUUGGUAUAACUCUGAUAAAUUAAUUUUAUUAUGGGGUUAAUAUUUUAAUUAAAAAAUUAUAUACUUUUAAUAAAGAUUUAUACUUUUCAAUAAAAAAAUUCAAUUAUUUUUAUGAAUGCUUAAAUUAUAUUAAGAAAAUAAAAAAAUAAUAAUUAAGAAUAGUUGAAAAAAAUUAUUUUAACUUGGACUCAAUGGCCCAAAGGAAAAAAAAGUGAGAAUUGAAUCUGAUUUUUUAAUAGGCCCAAAUGGCCCAAGAGAAAUUUGAUUUGGGCUGGAUCCAAAAAUAAUGACCCAAUAUAGAUUUGUUAUUAAUAUUACUUAAUUGUACUUAAUGAAACAUGCAAUGUUAGUGAAUGAAACAUGCCCCUAAGGUAAUUAUGACAAUAGGAUCCUUUAAUAGUAUAGAUGGCUUAAGUAAAUUGCAAACAGAGUGGCUUAAAACGCAUUUAGUCAUAGGAAGGUAAGUUUUAUAAUGGCAUUGUAAACACAUUACAAAAUCAGUACAGUGACUUUAACCAAUUGGCCCCAGCCCAGCAUUCUGCCAAUCUAUUAAAACUAAUAACAAGAAAUUUCCG